GAUCAUGGCUCAGGAUAAACGCUGGCGGCGCACAUAAGACAUGCAAGUCGAACGGAAGUCGUUGUAAUGAAAUGGAAAUGGACAGAGAACUUGUUCGAAGAAAGUUGAAGUAGACUUACAACAAUGGCUUUAGUGGCGGACUGGUGAGUAACGCGUAAGGAACCUGCCUUUUAGUAGGGGAAGUAAACAAAUGAGAAAUACAUUGCUAAUAACCGCCAUAUGCCGACGAGAAUACACAUGGUACGAAUACGGG
Molecule: ribosomal RNA, 253 nt
Filed under: uncultured bacterium
Lineage: Bacteria
Description: partial 16S ribosomal RNA
Rfam family: Bacterial small subunit ribosomal RNA
Source: RNAcentral